Neltuma alba is the source of this 979-nucleotide RNA transcript. It is a transcript of the gene named RING-box protein 1a, with no coding region annotated. The record is from RefSeq and is a predicted model, not a curated record. The transcript is spliced from 6 exons. Lineage: Eukaryota; Viridiplantae; Streptophyta; Magnoliopsida; Fabales; Fabaceae.
AGCCUAAAGCAGCGCGCGCAUUAGGCAUUCUUUCGAGUCUUGAUCGCAGAGCGUAGAGUCGGAGGACAUUCGAGUUUUGUGGAAGAAAACAUAUGGCUACCAUGGAUACCGACAUCCCGAUGGUGCAAGCCGGUGAUUCCUCCAGUAGUGCUGGCCCUUCUUCCAAGAAGCCUAAGCGUUUCGAAAUCAAGAAGUGGAAUGCUGUUGCUCUUUGGGCUUGGGAUAUCGUCGUUGAUAACUGUGCGAUAUGCCGGAACCAUAUUAUGGAUCUUUGCAUCGAGUGCCAGGCUAACCAGGCUAGCGCCACUAGCGAGGAAUGCACUGUGGCUUGGGGGGUUUGUAACCAUGCCUUUCACUUUCAUUGCAUUAGUAGAUGGCUCAAGACCCGUCAAGUAUGCCCUCUAGAUAACAGUGAGUGGGAAUUUCAGAAGUAUGGUCACUAGAAAUUUCAUUUGGUUGAGCUCCUUGGAUAUUUGGACCAUGUAUCUUAUUUAUGUAUCUUUAGUAAGUCUACUUGCUCGAUUUUUUCUUCUGCUUUCUUUCGGCGUAUCCUCUUCUUUUCUCUUUUGCUCUUUCCUCUGCUCCUGCUAAUUCACCCUUGGAUUUCUUCCGACAAUCGAAGCCCUACAUUCUCUCCCUCACCAUCCCGGUCCCUGGUUCCUUCUUUGGCGUCGGAGUAGGCUGAUGGUGGUGUGUUUAGCCACUGAAGAAGGUAUGGCAGGCAGUUUAUUGGAAGGAUGAUUGCUGGCAAGGGUCGGGCAGCACUAGGAGUUAUGCGGCCGUCGAUGUGGUUGUCUUGGCAGCUUUCUUUCAUAGGAAGCGCCAUCAGAAUAUUCGAUGAUCUCAGAAUGGAUGUAUUUGUAAAAUAUCCCUAUUUGUUAUCGUUUAAUGACAAUGUAAGAUAGAGAUUGAGUAAUGCUUUGUAGUUUGCAGCCUCAGAAUAAGGAAUCAAGAAAUACCUGCAAGGUGGACUUUUGAA